RNAcentral lists this ribosomal RNA (420 nucleotides) under uncultured bacterium. Its description in RNAcentral is "bacterial SSU rRNA". It matches the Rfam family "Bacterial small subunit ribosomal RNA", at positions 355 to 792 of the family's 1533-position model. The record is from RNAcentral.
UGGGGAAUAUUGCACAAUGGGGGAAACCCUGAUGCAGCGACGCCGCGUGGGUGAAGAAGUUUUUCGGAAUGUAAAGCCCUAUCAGCAGGGAAGAUAAUGACGGUACCUGACUAAGAAGCCCCGGCUAACUACGUGCCAGCAGCCGCGGUAAUACGUAGGGGGCAAGCGUUAUCCGGAUUUACUGGGUGUAAAGGGAGCGUAGACGGAAUAGCAAGUCUGAAGUGAAAUCAUAGGGCUCAACCCUGUAAUUGCUUUGGAAACUGUUGAUCUUGAGUACCGGAGGGGCAGGCGGAAUUCCUGGUGUAGCGGUGAAAUGCGUAGAUAUCAGGAAGAACACCGGUGGCGAAGGCGGCCUGCUGGACGGAAACUGACGUUGAGGCUCGAAAGCGUGGGGAGCAAACAGGAUUAGAUACCCUGGUA